This 72-nucleotide transfer RNA is filed under the name Polyangiaceae bacterium. Its description in RNAcentral is "tRNA-Pro". It matches the Rfam family "tRNA". Rfam says of the family: Transfer RNA (tRNA) molecules are approximately 80 nucleotides in length. The record is from RNAcentral. Lineage: Bacteria; Pseudomonadati; Myxococcota; Polyangiales; Polyangiaceae.
CAGGGCGUAGGGGAGCGGUACCCCAGGGGCUUUGGAAGCCUCGAGUCAUUGGUUCAAAUCCAGUCGCCCUGA